GGUUCUGGAAUCCAACCAAGACGGUAGUACCUGAUUAAUAUGGGCUCUCUGAAUAGGCGCCCUUAAGUAAUGGAAAUGGUCCUACAUCCUAAACCAGAUGUCUGCACUCAGCACACUUCCUUCCAGUUACUGCCCAUCCCAAUGACUGCUGAGCAAAUGAUCGCAUACAUUUUCCACCUGAGCCACUCAACUGUGGCUGAAUGAUUACCGCUUUAAUAUUUAUUACUUUUUAGAGACUUCAAAGGAGUCUACAAGAUGAUUUAGGCGUGAGUCCAAG
Non-coding RNA from Pelobates cultripes (western spadefoot toad), 277 nucleotides. Lineage: Eukaryota; Metazoa; Chordata; Amphibia; Anura; Pelobatidae. The record is from the annotation of a GenBank genome assembly.